UACGUAGGCAGCGAGCGUUGUUCGGAGUUACUGGGCGUAAAGAGUGCGUAGGCGGUUUUCUAAGUUUGGUGUGAAAUCUCCCGGCUUAACUGGGAGGGUGCGCCGAAGACUGGAAGGCUUGAGUAUGGGAGAGGUAAGCGGAAUUCCUGGUGUAGCGGUGAAAUGCGCAGAUAUCAGGAGGAACACCGGUGGCGAAGGCGGGUCUCUGGGCAACAACUGACGCUGAGGAGCGAAAGCGUGGGGAGCGAACAGG
This 253-nucleotide ribosomal RNA is filed under the name uncultured bacterium. RNAcentral describes it as "partial 16S ribosomal RNA". It matches the Rfam family "Bacterial small subunit ribosomal RNA", at positions 524 to 776 of the family's 1533-position model. The record is from RNAcentral.